GAUGAACGCUGGCGGCGUGCCUAAUACAUGCAAGUCGAGCGAACAGACGAGGAGCUUGCUCCUCUGACGUUAGCGGCGGACGGGUGAGUAACACGUGGAUAACCUACCUAUAAGACUGGGAUAACUUCGGGAAACCGGAGCUAAUCCCGGAUAAUAUCUUGAACCGCAUGGUUCAAUAGUGAAAGACGGCUUUGCUGUCACUUAUAGAUGGAUCCGCGCCGCAUUAGCUAGUUGGUAAGGUAACGGCUUAUCAAGGCAACGAUGCGUAGCCGACCUGAGAGGGUGGUCGGCCACACUGGAACUGGGACGCGGUCCAGGCUCCUACGGGAGGCAGCAGUAGGCAAUCUUCCGCAAUAGUCGAAAGCCUUACGGAGCAACGCCGCGUGAGUGAUGAAGGUCUUCGGAUCGUAAAACUCUGUUAUUAGGGAAGAACAAAUGUGUAAGUAACUAUGCACGUCUUGACGGUACCUAAUCAGAAAGCCACGGCUAACUACGUG
Molecule: ribosomal RNA, 497 nt
Filed under: uncultured bacterium
Lineage: Bacteria
Description: partial 16S ribosomal RNA
Rfam family: Bacterial small subunit ribosomal RNA
Source: RNAcentral